RNAcentral lists this ribosomal RNA (394 nucleotides) under uncultured bacterium. RNAcentral's name for it is "partial 16S ribosomal RNA". It matches the Rfam family "Bacterial small subunit ribosomal RNA", at positions 523 to 918 of the family's 1533-position model. The record is from RNAcentral.
AUACGUAGGGGACGAGCGUUGUCCGGAAUUACUGGGCGUAAAGGGCGCGCAGGCGGAUAUUUAAGUCAGCUGUAAAAGGCAUGAGCUCAACUCAUGUAUGCGGUUGAAACUGGGUAUCUAGAGUGCUGGAGAGGUAGGCGGAAUUCCCGGGGUAGCAGUGAAAUGCGUAGAUAUCGGGAAGAACACCAGUGGCGAAGGCGGCUUACUGGCCAGCAACUGACGCUGAGGCGCGAAAGCCAGGGGAGCGAACGGGAUUAGAUACCCCGGUAGUCCUGGCCGUAAACGAUGAAUGCUAGGUGUGGGUGUCGAGAGGCAUCCGUGCCGGAGUUAACGCGAUAAGCAUUCCGCCUGGGGAGUACGAUCGCAAGAUUGAAACUCAAAUGAAUUGACGGGG